This 1814-nucleotide unclassified non-coding RNA is filed under the name Hevea brasiliensis (rubber tree). The record is from RNAcentral. Lineage: Eukaryota; Viridiplantae; Streptophyta; Magnoliopsida; Malpighiales; Euphorbiaceae.
UUCUUGCAAAAUUGCAGUAUCCUUUAGAAAUUUCAUUAUGAACAAAACAUCUGAGAUUUUCUUGGACAAACUUACAAAGAAAUCAGACAAAAUAGGCAGCAUUAGCCUUCCCCCUUGGAGUCACAAAGUACAAGUAAUAACUUAGACCCUACUAAAACCCUCUGUAGAUAACAACAAAACAAGGCAAAAUUGCCCUUGCAUUGAACACAUACAACUCUUCCAAAUUGGAGUAAACCCCCUCAGCUCCAGCUACAGAGUCAUAUUCCUCCAUGUUACCCUCCACACUCUUCUUAACUCUUCCUGCUAUGACCCUACAGACCAGCAUUGCUCUCUUAUCACUAUUGCCAUUACUCUCCUCCGAUAUUGCAGCUUUGUCAUGUGCUUUACCACUUGUUGCUGUGGUCAGAAUUCGAUUUCCGUUGACUCCUCCAAUAGUGGAUUCUUUAAAUCCAUUUUUGAUGAUGCUGCAUACAUUACAGUGUGGAAUUGAAUUGCACAGAUUGGAUGACCCAUUUAGGCCUAGUGAGCAAGCAAAGCUGGUGCAGUAAAACCUGAGGAGCUCAUUUCCAUCUGCUAUGCAACGUGGGUGCUUCUUUGGGAGCUUGGUGGCUUUGGCUUUGAUGGAGUCUCUGUACUCUUCAAAUUUGGAGAUGGUUCUUUGGGUAUUGUGGACUUUUAGAAUCCUGUCUAUUUGGCAAACGGGGACUUCUUUCUUCAGCCAGCUUGACUGGAAUAUAAUUUCCACUAUGUUUUUGCUUGUGUCUUCUAGACCCAGCUCUGAUACUGUAAAGUGACUCCAAAUUGAAGGAGUUAACAGUUUGAGUAGUUAAUGGAAGCAUAUGUAGCCAAAGUGGUAUAAAUGGUGAUUUGAAGUAAGUAGCUAAAAGUAGCAAAAAAUUGAAUCCUACAUUUGCUUCAGAAAACUAAUUUAUGCAGUAAAAAUAUCUAGCAAAAUGAAGUAGACAAUAGAAGAGAUGAAGGGGAAGAAAAGGUCGUUUACAAGAUGGACAAGAGAGAAAUUUUGAUGGAAACUUACCUGCAUGUCUAACAGACCGAUGAAGCUCCAGAUUUUCAGCUUUCACGAAGAUCUCACCACAUUCGGGGCAUGAACAAAUGCUACUUCUCAAAGAGGGGUCUCUGGUGAAUCCAAGAACAGGAUCUACCACCAUUCUACACUCAUAGCAGCCAUAUAGUCUCCUGAAUGGCAGUCCUUUAAAGGAACCAGCAUUGUUAAUGGAGGAAUUAGAAGACACAGACAAUGAAGAUUUAUAAAAGGAAGGAACCCCAUUAAUUUCAUUCAAAGAAUCCUUCAUGGAUCUGCCUGAGGAGCCAUUGUUACUAGUUAAUCCCAUUGAAGCCCUUUUUCUUCGGACUUCAGGGGAAGCUGUUUCAGGCCUGUGCAUGACCUUUGUGUUGUUGCAUAGAGAGCUUGAACACUUAAUUUUCUUGCAUUUCUUGCUGGUUUCCUCCAGAGCUUGUUCUUGAUGCUGAUGAUGUUUUUCCUCCUUAUGCUGCUGCUGCUGCUCUUGCUUUUCCUGUUUUGGAUGCUUUAGUUCCUGUUGCUGCUGUCUUUGUAGGUCCUUGCAGGUGAAAAGACCUCUAACAGCUAACCAUGAAGGUGGUUUUUCUGAUCUUUGGGGUUGUUGGUUUUGGUUCUGGUGGAUUUUAUUGAUGGGUUUUAUUGGGGCUUUAGGUUUAGCCAUUCUGCGGUGACAAAGAACUGGGGUUUUUCUCACAUGAUCUAAACAGCUGGUGGCAGAGAAGCUUUGUUUUGUAGGAGUUUUUCUCUGGAUUAGGGAGUUAUGGUGAUCUAC